RNAcentral lists this small RNA (22 nucleotides) under Arabidopsis thaliana (thale cress). RNAcentral's name for it is "ATSL102220". Lineage: Eukaryota; Viridiplantae; Streptophyta; Magnoliopsida; Brassicales; Brassicaceae. The record is from RNAcentral.
AGACUUAAAAAAAAAGCCAAAA